RNAcentral lists this ribosomal RNA (370 nucleotides) under uncultured bacterium. Its description in RNAcentral is "bacterial SSU rRNA". It matches the Rfam family "Bacterial small subunit ribosomal RNA", at positions 527 to 896 of the family's 1533-position model. The record is from RNAcentral.
GGASGGUGCAAGCGUUAAUCGGAAUUACUGGGCGUAAAGCGCACGCAGGCGGUUGGAUAAGUUAGAUGUGAAAGCCCCGGGCUCAACCUGGGAAUUACAUUUAAAACUGUCCAGCUAGAGUCUUGUAGAGGGGGGUAGAAUUCCAGGUGUAGCGGUGAAAUGCGUAGAGAUCUGGAGGAAUACCGGUGGCGAAGGCGGCCCCCUGGACAAAGACUGACGCUCAGGUGCGAAAGCGUGGGGAGCAAACAGGAUUAGAUACCCUGGUAGUCCACGCCGUAAACGAUGUCGAUUUGGAGGCUGUGUCCUUGAGACGUGGCUUCCGGAGCUAACGCGUUAAAUCGACCGCCUGGGGAGUACGGCCGCAAGGUUA